This 465-nucleotide ribosomal RNA is filed under the name uncultured bacterium. RNAcentral describes it as "bacterial SSU rRNA". It matches the Rfam family "Bacterial small subunit ribosomal RNA", at positions 330 to 792 of the family's 1533-position model. The record is from RNAcentral.
GCCAGACUCCUACGGGAGGCAGCAGUGAGGAAUAUUGGUCAAUGGACGGAAGUCUGAACCAGCCAUGCCGCGUGCAGGAAGACGGCUCUAUGAGUUGUAAACUGCUUUUGUACAAGGGUAAACCUGAAUACGUGUAUUCAGCUGAAAGUACUGUACGAAUAAGGAUCGGCUAACUCCGUGCCAGCAGCCGCGGUAAUACGGAGGAUCCGAGCGUUAUCCGGAUUUAUUGGGUUUAAAGGGAGCGUAGGCGGGUUGUUAAGUCAGUUGUGAAAGUUUGCGGCUCAACCGUAAAAUUGCAGUUGAUACUGGCAUCCUUGAGUACAGUAGAGGUAGGCGGAAUUCGUGGUGUAGCGGUGAAAUGCUUAGAUAUCACGAAGAACUCCGAUUGCGAAGGCAGCCUGCUGGACUGUAACUGACGCUGAUGCUCGAAAGUGUGGGUAUCAAACAGGAUUAGAUACCCCAGUA